UGAUAGAAAUUUAAACACUUUUUAAAGUAUCAAUUGGAGGGCAAGUCUGGUGCCAGCAGCCGCGGUAAUUCCAGCUCCAAUAGCGUAUAUUAAAAUUGUUGCAGUUAAAAAGCUCGUAGUUGAAUUUCUGUUAAAAAUAACCGGUCUGCUUUUAUUAAAAGUGGUAUCUUGGUGUGUUUUUAGCAAUAAUGUCCUUUGAAAUGGUUUUUACUUUAUUGUAAUAAGUCAUUAUUUUGAGGAUUUUUACUUUGAGAAAAUUAGAGUGUUUCUAGCAGGCUUACGCUUUUGAAUACUGCAGCAUGGAAUAAUAAGAUAGGAUUUUAGUUCUACAUUAUUGGUUUUAAGAACUAAAUUAAUGAUUGAUAGGGAUAGUUGGGGGCAUUUGUAUUUAACUGUCAGAGGUGAAAUUCUUAGAUUUGUUAAAGACAAACUACUGCGAAAGCAUUUGCCAAAGAUGUUUUCAUUAAUCAAGAACGAAAGUUAGGGGAUCGAAG
RNAcentral lists this ribosomal RNA (494 nucleotides) under Hepatozoon sp. LAS-2012. RNAcentral's name for it is "bacterial SSU rRNA". It matches the Rfam family "Eukaryotic small subunit ribosomal RNA", at positions 515 to 1003 of the family's 1831-position model. The record is from RNAcentral. Lineage: Eukaryota; Apicomplexa; Hepatozoidae.